This 87-nucleotide microRNA precursor is filed under the name Oryza sativa Indica Group (long-grained rice). RNAcentral describes it as "mir-166 microRNA precursor". The record is from RNAcentral. Lineage: Eukaryota; Viridiplantae; Streptophyta; Magnoliopsida; Poales; Poaceae.
AUUUUAUAUUAAUAUAUUUUUUAAAAAUAUUUUUAAAAAUUUUAUAACUAUUUAAGUGAUAUGUAAAUCGUUUGGAGAGUUUAAAAU